RNAcentral lists this ribosomal RNA (253 nucleotides) under uncultured bacterium. RNAcentral describes it as "partial 16S ribosomal RNA". It matches the Rfam family "Bacterial small subunit ribosomal RNA", at positions 524 to 776 of the family's 1533-position model. The record is from RNAcentral.
GACGGAGGAUGCAAGCGUUAUCCGGAAUGAUUGGGCGUAAAGCGUCCGCAGGUGGCAGUUCAAGUCUGCUGUCAAAGACCGGGGCUUAACUUCGGAAAGGCAGUGGAAACUGAACAGCUAGAGUAUGGUAGGGGCAGAGGGAAUUCCUGGUGUAGCGGUGAAAUGCGUAGAGAUCAGGAAGAACACCGGUGGCGAAGGCGGCCCACUGGUCCGGUACUGACGCUGAGGUGCGAAAGCGUGGGGAGCAAACAGG